RNAcentral lists this long non-coding RNA (588 nucleotides) under Capra hircus (goat). RNAcentral describes it as "lncRNA (ENSCHIG00010017072.1)". The record is from RNAcentral. Lineage: Eukaryota; Metazoa; Chordata; Mammalia; Artiodactyla; Bovidae.
AUGAAUUUGCUUUCCCACGAGGCUAUUGAGAUGAGAGAGGUGGUAACCAGGGACCUUGUCUGGACUGCUUCAGCCCUCCUCCAUCCCAGGACGUUCUCAUGUCUCCACAGGGUCAAUACUGCCGAGUAUCUCUUGAACUUGCUAACAAGAAGAGACCAGAGGCAGAUUCUUUACCAGCUGGAGCCACUGGGAAAUCAGUAUAAAGCAGAACGGGCCAUGUGCCACAGCAAAGGCUCUGAUGAAGAAAAACUUACAUCCACCUGGUGGAGAGAACAGUUGAAGACUCAAAGAUGGUAAAUGCUAGAAAGCAAUAGAAAGAACUAUUGCAGCCAUCACUCUUUUUUGCUGAUGAAGUCAUUGAAAGACAUGCUCAAAAAUAUUUGUUGAAUGAACAAAUUUAUGAGUGAAUCAAUUCAUCAGUGAAUUAAAGAAAACCAAUAGUCAAACUUGAGAAGACAUCACCUUUUCUUGACCCUCAGUCUGGAGAGAUUUCUAGAUCAUGAAAAUCCCAAAAGCAAAUGAUUUAUUUCAAUAGUAAUUAUUAUUAUUAUUAUUAUUAUUAUNNNNNNNNAAAUGAGGGUUAGGGUG